Molecule: ribosomal RNA, 888 nt
Filed under: uncultured eukaryote
Lineage: Eukaryota
Description: SSU rRNA
Rfam family: Eukaryotic small subunit ribosomal RNA
Source: RNAcentral
CCUUGUGCCAGCAGCCGCGGUAAUUCCAGCUCCAAUAGCGUAUAUUAAAGUUGUUGUGGUUAAAAAGCUCGUAGUUGGAUCUCAACAGCCUUGAAGCGGUUAACUUUGUAGUUUUACUGCUUUAUAGGCUGUGCUUUUGCUGGAGGUUUAGGGGUGCUCUUGAUCGAGUGUCUCUGGAUGCCAGCAGGUUUACUUUGAAAAAAUUAGAGUGCUCAAAGCAGGCUAAAAUGCCUGAAUAUUCGUGCAUGGAAUAAUAGAAUAGGAUGUCGAUCCUAUUUUGUUGGUUUUCGGGACUCGACAUAAUGAUAAAUAGGGACAGUCGGGGGCAUUUGUAUUCAAACGACAGAGGUGAAAUUCUUGGACCGUUUGAAGACAAACUACUGCGAAAGCAUUUGCCAAGAAUGUUUUCAUUAAUCAAGAACGAAAGUUAGAGGUUCGAAGGCGAUUAGAUACCGCCCUAGUUCUAACCAUAAACGAUGCCAGCUAGCGAUCUGCCUGCGUUUUUACUGUAGACUGGGCAGGAAGCUUCCGGGAAACCAAAGCAUUUGGGUUCCAGGGGAAGUAUGGUUGCAAAGCUGAAACUUAAAGGAAUUGACGGAAGGGCACCACCAGGAGUGGAGCCUGUGGCUUAAUUUGACUCAACACGGGAAAUCUCACCAGGCCCGGACACUGGAAGGAUUGACAGAUUGAUAGCUCUUUCUUGAUUCGGUGGGUGGUGGUGCAUGGCCGUUCUUAGUUGGUGGAGUGAUUUGUCUGGUUAAUUCCGAUAACGAACGAGACUCUGUCCUGCUAAAUAGUUUCUACUUCUCUUUUGAGUAGAAAUUUCUUCUUAGAGGGACUGGUGACUCUUAGUCACACGAGAUUGAGCAAUAACAGGUCUGUGAUGCC